Long non-coding RNA from Anthonomus grandis grandis, 619 nucleotides. RefSeq lists it as uncharacterized. Lineage: Eukaryota; Metazoa; Arthropoda; Insecta; Coleoptera; Curculionidae. The record is from RefSeq and is a predicted model, not a curated record. The transcript has 3 exons.
AAUCCCGUUCACUACGUAGAGAUCCCGACUUAUUUUGGCAUUUGUUCAGGAAUCGUUUUCGCGUUUUCGUCCUCAAAAUAAUUCAGGUGAAAAUUUGUGUUUAGUUAUUGGCCCCGCUUGUAUUUGUUUGGCCAGUAUUGUUCAAUCAGCAUCUCAAACAUUACAAGAUGAUUGAGACCCGCUGGGACCCAAUACAUGGGUACGACUACACGUACUGGCCAGACUCAAAAUACUUCAAAAAUUACCGAUUUUCUCCUCCUGUAAGUGUUGUAGAUCCAUGGUCAUACCGAUCCAGAGUAUGGUUUCCAUAUUACUGGUCAACGAGAAGGCUGUUUCAGCAUUAUAUCGAUUACAAACCUUCUGAUCUAGCUCUUAGGGAUGUCAGAUUGAGGAAUAAUCUCUACUUUUAAAGUCCAGGCCCAAAACAUGAAGUAGAAAUUGACCGCAAGAUGCAUUUAACAAGAGUUCGCAUGAAAGGUUGGCUGCUUACUAAUAUUAUUGGAUAUCUGAUGUAAAGUGUAACGUGUUAUUAUUUUAAGUUUCUAGCAAUGUAACGAACGAUAUAACUUGUCUUUCAAAUGAAACAACGAGUCAAGAUUUAUUAAACGUGUCACGACUA